This 475-nucleotide ribosomal RNA is filed under the name uncultured bacterium. RNAcentral's name for it is "bacterial SSU rRNA". It matches the Rfam family "Bacterial small subunit ribosomal RNA", at positions 335 to 799 of the family's 1533-position model. The record is from RNAcentral.
ACUCCUACGGGAGGCAGCAGUGGGGAAUAUUGCACAAUGGGCGCAAGCCUGAUGCAGCCAUGCCGCGUGUGUGAAGAAGGCCUUCGGGUUGUAAAGCACUUUCAGUCGUGAGGAAGGUGGUAGUGUUAAUAGCACUAUCAUUUGACGUUAGCGACAGAAGAAGCACCGGCUAACUCCGUGCCAGCAGCCGCGGUAAUACGGAGGGGUGCGAGCGUUAAUCGGAAUUACUGGGGCGUAAAGCGCAUGCAGGUGGUUUGUUAAGUCAGAUGUGAAAGCCCGGGGCUCAACCUCGGAAUAGCAUUUGAAACUGGCAGACUAGAGUACUGUAGAGGGGGUAGAAUUUCAGGUGUAGCGGUGAAAUGCGUAGAGAUCUGAAGGAAUACCGGUGGCGAAGGCGGCCCCCUGGACAGAUACUGACACUCAGAUGCGAAAGCGUGGGGAGCGAAACAGGAUUAGAUACCCUGGUAGGAUAGCG